UACGUAGGGGCCUAGCGUUGUCCGGAUUUAUUGGGCGUAAAGAGCUCGUAGGCGGCUUGGUAAGUCAGGUGUGAAAUCUCCACGCUCAACGUGGAGGGGCCACCUGAUACUGCCAUGGCUUGAGUCCGGUAGGGGAGUGUGGAAUUCCCGGUGUAGCAGUGAAAUGCGUAGAGAUCAUGAGGAAGACCAGUGGCGAAGGCGGGUCUCUGGACAGUGCCUGACACUGAGGCACGAAGGCCAGGGGAGCAAACGGG
RNAcentral lists this ribosomal RNA (254 nucleotides) under uncultured bacterium. RNAcentral describes it as "partial 16S ribosomal RNA". It matches the Rfam family "Bacterial small subunit ribosomal RNA", at positions 524 to 776 of the family's 1533-position model. The record is from RNAcentral.